This 576-nucleotide ribosomal RNA is filed under the name Salmonella enterica subsp. enterica serovar Enteritidis. RNAcentral describes it as "partial 23S ribosomal RNA". It matches the Rfam family "Bacterial large subunit ribosomal RNA", at positions 1 to 605 of the family's 2925-position model. The record is from RNAcentral. Lineage: Bacteria; Pseudomonadati; Pseudomonadota; Gammaproteobacteria; Enterobacterales; Enterobacteriaceae.
GGGUUGUGAGGUUAAGCGACUAAGCGUACACGGUGGAUGCCCUGGCAGUCAGAGGCGAUGAAGGGCGUACUAAUCUGCGAUAAGCGCCGGUAAGGUGAUAUGAACCGUUAUAACCGGCGAUACCCGAAUGGGGAAACCCAGUGUGAUUCGUCACACUAUCAUUAACUGAAUCCAUAGGUUAAUGAGGCGAACCGGGGGAACUGAAACAUCUAAGUACCCCGAGGAAAAGAAAUCAACCGAGAUUCCCCCAGUAGCGGCGAGCGAACGGGGAGGAGCCCAGAGCCUGAAUCAGCAUGUGUGUUAGUGGAAGCGUCUGGAAAGGCGCGCGAUACAGGGUGACAGCCCCGUACACAAAAGCGCAUGUGCUGUGAGCUCGAUGAGUAGGGCGGGACACGUGGUAUCCUGUCUGAAUAUGGGGGGACCAUCCUCCAAGGCUAAAUACUCCUGACUGACCGAUAGUGAACCAGUACCGUGAGGGAAAGGCGAAAAGAACCCCGGCGAGGGGAGUGAAAAAGAACCUGAAACCGUGUACGUACAAGCAGUGGGAGCACAGGUUUACCUGUGUGACUGCGUACC